RNAcentral lists this ribosomal RNA (1004 nucleotides) under uncultured eukaryote. Its description in RNAcentral is "partial 16S ribosomal RNA". It matches the Rfam family "Eukaryotic small subunit ribosomal RNA", at positions 555 to 1540 of the family's 1831-position model. The record is from RNAcentral.
UCCGCUUUUGUGCCAGCAGCCGCGGUAAUUCCAGCUCCAAGAGCAUAUAUUAAAGUCGUUGCAGUUAAAAAGCUCGUAGUUGAAUAUCUGGUAUAACGUACCUGGCCCGCAGCCUUUAGGCUUGUGUGUGCCGGCGCACGUUUGCCAUCUUUCUAAAAAACGGGUCUGCCAUUAACUUGGUGGGUUCGGGAUCUAGAUCAUUUACUUUGAAAAAAUUAGAGUGUUUAAAGCAAGCAAUUGCUCUGAAUACAUUAGCAUGGAAUAAUAAUCUAGGACUUCGGUUCUAUUUUGUUGGUUUCUAAAACUGAAGUAAUGAUUGAUAGGGACAGUUGGGGGUGCUAGUAUUGGCCGGCCAGAGGUGAAAUUCUUGGAUUCGGUCAAGACUAACUUAUGCGAAAGCAUUCACCAAGGAUGUCUUCUUUAAUCAAAAACGAAAGUUGGGGGGAUCAAAAAACGAUCAGAUACCGUCGUACUCUCAACCAUAAACUAUGCCAACUUGGGGAUGGGGGGGAACGUUGCUUUUUUCGACUUUCAUCCGCAUCUUAUGAAAAAUCAAAGUCUUUGGGUUCCCGGGGGGAAAUUAGGGUCCCCAAGGGCUAAAACCUUAAAAUAAAUUGACAGAACCCCCCCCCCCAGGGAGUGGGAGCCGCGGCGGCUUAUUUUGACUCAACCACGGGAAAAACUUACCCAGGUCCGGACAUAGGGGGAGGAUUGACAGAUUGAAUAUCUUUUCUUGAUUCUAGGGGGGUGGGGGGGUGGCAUGGCCCGUUCUUAGUUUGGGUGGGAAGUGAUUUGGCCUGGGUUUAAUCUCCCGUUAACGAACGAGACCCUCGACCUGCUAAUAGUUGGACUGAAUUCUUUUUUGGGGUUGGAGAUUGACUUCUAGGAGGUACUUUUGUGUGGUUAGCAAAGGGAUGUUACGAGGCAUUACAGGUUCUGUGAUGCCCUAGAUGUCUGGGCGCACGCGCGCCUACACAUGAGUCCGGGACUCCAAUCUCGCCAGG